This 774-nucleotide ribosomal RNA is filed under the name uncultured Neocallimastigales. Its description in RNAcentral is "partial large subunit ribosomal RNA". It matches the Rfam family "Eukaryotic large subunit ribosomal RNA", at positions 26 to 614 of the family's 3401-position model. The record is from RNAcentral. Lineage: Eukaryota; Fungi; Neocallimastigomycota; Neocallimastigomycetes; Neocallimastigales.
CGCAUCUGUGCAUGCAGCAUAUCAAUAAGCGGAGGAAAAGAAACUAACAAGGAUUCCCCUAGUAACGGCGAGUGAAGCGGGAAGAGCUCAAAUUUGAAAUCUUAAAGGGUUUCCCUUUACGAAUUGUAGUUUAAAGAAGUGUUUUCUGUUGAGGUUUUGGUAAAAGUUCUUUGGAAUAGGACAUCAUAGAGGGUGAGAAUCCCGUAUUUGACCUUUACUUUCAACUUUGUGAUACACUUUCAAAGAGUCGGAUUGUUUGGGAAUGCAGUCCAAAAUGGGUGGUAAAUUUCAUCUAAAGCUAAAUAUUGGCGAGAGACCGAUAGCGAACAAGUACCGUGAGGGAAAGAUGAAAAGAACUUUGAAAAGAGAGUUAAACAGUACGUGAAAUUGUCAAAAGGGAAGCGUUUGACACCAGUGUUGUUUUUCUGAAAAUCAAUUAAAGAACUGUUUAUGCUAAGCUGUUUAGACUUUAUCAGCUAACUGUUUAGUUUUGAGCUUUUCUUUAAUGCACUUUUCAGUUAACAAGUCAACAUCAAUUUCUUUUGCUGUAAAAAAGCUUGAGGAAGGUGGCUUGAGAUUCGUCUUAAGUGUUUAUAGCCUCUUGCCUAUGCAGUCGGAGAGAUUGAGGUCUGCAGCGUAGAUCCUUCGGGGCUAAAUGCAUUUGUGCUAAGUUAUAGCAUUUUAUAGACAACUUGUUGACUAUGAUUUGUCUUGUAGCUUACUCGCUUAUGUUAUUUUACCUACGCUUAGGAUGUUGAGUCAUCACACAUCUCU